Etheostoma spectabile (orangethroat darter) is the source of this 215-nucleotide small nucleolar RNA. RefSeq annotates it as small nucleolar RNA U3. Lineage: Eukaryota; Metazoa; Chordata; Actinopteri; Perciformes; Percidae. The transcript has a single exon. The record is from RefSeq and is a predicted model, not a curated record.
AAGACUAUACUUUCAGGGAUCAUUUCUAGAGUUUCUAACUUGAGGAAUGCGUUUCUAAAGUGUUUGGUCUUGCUGACCGUGAUGUUGAAUUAUGAUAUUCCUUUCUGAGCAUGAAGCUAACAGCGAGUAAUGAUUCACUUCAUAUGCUCUCUGUCACUAAUGAUCGUUGUUGUUUCUUUAUGGAGCAUUGAGGAAGGGAAUAUGAUCAUAGUGGU